Molecule: non-coding RNA, 21 nt
Filed under: Caenorhabditis elegans
Lineage: Eukaryota; Metazoa; Nematoda; Chromadorea; Rhabditida; Rhabditidae
Source: RNAcentral
UAAUCAGUGAAUAGAAUGUAA